UCCGCCGAUAGAAGAACACGAAAAUUCAGAAGAGAUUGUAAAAGUUUCUUCGCUCUCUCAACCAAAGAAGCUACGGUAAACAUUCCAAUCUCUCUCUAGCUUUUUUUUUUCUUUUUUGAAUUUCGAUUCGAAUCAAUAAAACGUAAUUAGGGUUUUGUUGUUUUCGUUCAACACGGUCGUUAUCUCUCUUAAUACUGAACUCCAAUCCAUCCUAGUUAGGGUUAGAGUUAGGACACGAAGACUAUCCAAGGUAUCUAUCUGGUUAGGGUCUAUCAUCCUUACGUUUUGCUUUUCUUUUAAAUCGAGUUUUGGUUUCUAACUUUAAUUGUUGUGUUUGAUUGGGGUUUGAUUUGGAAAUUCAAUAAUGGCGCAUCUGGGUGGUGGUGCUGAGGCACACGCUCGAUUCAAGCAAUACGAGUACAGAGCCAAUUCCAGUCUGGUUCAUACUACUGAUACUCGACGACGUGAUACUCAUGAGCCCACUGGUGAACCUGAGUCUCUCUGGGGCAGGAUUGACCCUGGAAGUUUUGGUGACCGUGCUCACAGAGGGAGACCUUCUGAGUUAGAUGAGAAGAUUAACAAGGCUAAGGGGAAGAAGAAGGAGCGUGAUGCUCUUUCUGAAGCUGUCCGUGGUUGUCAAGCUAAGAGGCGCCGCUUUGGAGAGGAGAGUGUCCUUACUUCUACUGAGGAGGGCGUUUACCACCCCAAGACCAAGGAAACUAGAGCUGCCUAUGAAGCCAUGCUAAGUGUCAUUCAGCAGCAAUUGGGUGGUCAGCCUCUUAAUAUUGUUAGUGCUGCCGCUGAUGAGAUUUUGGCUGUUCUCAAGAAUGAGUCUGUUAGGACGCAGGACAAGAGGAAGGAGAUUGAGAAGUUGUUGAACCCUAUUCCCAACAGUAUGUAUGAUCAGUUUGUUUCAAUUGGUAAGCUUAUCACUGAUUACCAAGAUGGGGGUGAUGGUGCUGGGGUCUCUGUUGCUAAUGGUGAUGAUGUCCUUAAUGAUGAUGUGGGUGUUGCUGUGGAGUUUGAUCAGGACAAUGAAGAUGAGGAAGGGGAUAGUGAUCUGGAUAUGGUGCCACAGGAGGAGGAAGAGGAUGAUGAUGUGGUGGAAGCAGGUGGUUCUGGGGCCAUGCAGAUGGGUGGCAGAAUCGAUGAUGAUGAAAUGAGGGGGGCAAAUGAGGGAAUGAACCUUAAUGUUCAGGAUAUUGAUGCUUAUUGGCUACAAAGGAAGAUUUCACAAGCUUAUGAACAGCAGAUUGAUCCACAACAGUGCCAGAAGCUAGCAGAAGAAGUGCUGAAUUUACUUGCCGAGGGAGAUGACAGGGAAGUUGAAACGAAGUUGCUGUUACAUCUCCAGUUUGAUAAGUUCAGCUUUAUAAAGUUUCUUUUGUGGAACAGGCUGAAGAUUGUCUGGUGUACACGUUUAGUUAGGUCCAAAGAUCAGGAGGAGAGGAAGCAGAUAGAGGAGGAAAUGAUGGGUUCAGGUCCUGAUUUGGCAGGGAUUUUGGAGGAACUGCAUGCCACUAGGGCAACUGCUAAAGAGAGGCAAAAGAACUUGGAGAAGAGUAUAAGAGAAGAGGCUCGCUGGCUGAAAGAUGAGGCUGGUGGAGAUGGGGAUAGGGGUAAGAGAGGACUUGUUGAUAGAGAUGCUGAAAGUGGUUGGUUGAAAGGCCAGCCUCAGUUGCUUGACUUGGACAGCAUUGCUUUUGAACAGGGUACUGGCCUUUUGAUGGCAAACAAAAAGUGUGAUCUUCCUGUUGGUUCUUUUAAACAUCAGAAAAAGGGUUAUGAAGAAGUUCAUGUACCAGCAUUGAAGCCACGGGCAAUACCUCCUAAUGAGAGGUUUGUAAAGAUAUCAGACAUGCCAGACUGGGCUCAACCAGCUUUCGAAGGGAUGCAACAGUUGAACAGGGUGCAGAGUAAAGUCUAUGAGACCGCCCUUUUCAAGGCAGAUAAUAUACUCCUGUGUGCUCCAACUGGAGCAGGAAAAACCAAUGUUGCAGUGCUCACUAUACUUCAGCAAAUUGCCUUGAACAGGAAUCUGGACGGUUCAUUCAACAAUAACAAUUAUAAGAUAGUUUAUGUGGCUCCAAUGAAAGCCCUUGUGGCUGAAGUUGUGGGUAAUUUGUCCAAUCGUCUGCAGGAGUAUGGUGUCCAGGUGAAGGAACUAAGUGGAGAUCAAACAAUGACCCGCCAACAAAUUGAGGAAACUCAGAUAAUUGUGUCAACCCCUGAAAAGUGGGACAUUAUCUCCAGAAAGUCUGGUGAUCGCACCUAUACUCAACUUGUGAAACUCCUUAUUAUUGAUGAGAUUCACCUUCUUCAUGAUAAUAGAGGACCUGUGCUUGAGAGUAUUAUUGCAAGAACCGUGAGGCAAAUUGAAACAACAAAGGAAAAUAUCCGGUUGGUGGGGCUGUCAGCUACACUCCCUAAUUUUGAGGAUGUGGCUUUGUUUUUACGGGUUGAUCUGGGAAAAGGGCUCUUCCAUUUUGACAAUAGCUACAGGCCAGUUCCUCUUUCUCAACAGUAUAUUGGAAUCAAUAUAAAUAAGCCACUGCAGAGGUUUCAGUUGAUGAAUGAUAUCUGUCACGAGAAGGUAAUGGAUGUAGCAGGAAAGCAUCAAGUUCUCAUCUUUGUCCACUCAAGGAAGGAAACAGCCAAAACAGCUCGAGCAAUAAGGGACACUGCACUUGCUAACGAUACUGUAAGUAGGUUCUUGAGAGAGGACAGUACAAGUCGUGAGAUUCUCCAAACUGAUUCAGAAUUGGUGAAAAGCAAUGAUCUCAAAGAUCUUCUGCCCUAUGGCUUUGCUAUUCAUCAUGCUGGGAUGACAAGAGGUGAUCGUGAACUUGUUGAGGAGCGCUUUAUGGAUAGGCACGUGCAAGUACUGGUUUCUACUGCAACUCUAGCUUGGGGUGUUAACUUGCCUGCUCACACUGUGAUUAUCAAAGGGACUCAGAUUUACAAUCCAGAAAAAGGAGCAUGGACUGAACUAAGUCCACUGGAUGUUAUGCAGAUGUUGGGUCGUGCUGGCAGGCCUCAGUAUGAUUCAUACGGGGAAGGGAUUAUCAUCACAGGCCAUCGUGAGCUGCAGUACUACCUUUCCUUGAUGAAUCAACAACUUCCCAUUGAAAGUCAGUUCGUAUCCAAGCUGGCUGAUCAGUUGAAUGCAGAAAUUGUUCUAGGAUCAGUUCAAAAUGCCAGGGAAGCUUGCCACUGGCUCGAGUAUACUUACUUGUAUGUCCGGAUGAUGCGAAACCCUACAUUUUAUGGCUUAGCACCAGAUGUUCUUGCUAGGGAUAUCACAUUGGAGGAGAGGAGGGUUGAUCUGAUACAUUCUGCUGCUACUAUCUUGGACAAAAAUAAUUUGGUCAAGUAUGACAGGAAGAGUGGAUAUUUCCAGGUGACUGACUUGGGUCGAAUUGCGAGCUACUACUAUAUUACUCAUGGGACAAUGUCCACAUAUAAUGAGCAUUUGAAGCCAACAAUGGGAGAUAUUGAGCUGUGUCAUCUAUUCUCAUUAAGUGAAGAAUUUAAAUAUGUUACAGUUAGACAAGAUGAGAAGAUGGAACUGGCAAAGCUUUUGGACUGUGUUCCAAUUCCUAUCAAGGAAAGCCUAGAGGAGCCUAGUGCCAAAAUUAACGUUUUGCUGCAAGCAUAUAUUUCUCAGCUAAAGCUCGAAGGGCUUUCAUUGACAUCUGACAUGGUGUUCAUAACUCAGAGUGCUGGUCGUCUUAUGCGAGCUCUCUUUGAGAUUGUCUUGAAAAGAGGAUGGGCCCGGUUAGCUGAGAAGGCUUUGAACUUGUGUAAAAUGAUUAAUAAGAGAAUGUGGAGUGUCCAGACUCCCCUUCGGCAAUUCCAUGGGAUCCUUAAUGAAAUUCUGAUGAUGUUGGAGAAGAAAGAUUUGUCAUGGGAAAGGUACUAUGACCUUAAACCACAGGAGAUUGGUGAGCUCAUCCGUUUUCCCAAGAUGGGCAAAACACUGCACAAGGUCAUCCACCAAUUCCCAAAGUUAAACCUUGCAGCACAUGUUCAGCCCAUUACUCGCACCGUGUUGAGGGUUGAACUUGCAAUAACUGCAGACUUUCUAUGGGACGAAAACGUUCAUGGAUACGUGGAGCCAUUUUGGGUUAUCAUGGAGGAUAAUAAUGGUGACUCUAUUCUUCAUCACGAGUACUUCAUGCUGAAAAGGCAGUCCGUUGAUGAGGAACAGGUUGUGGACCCCACACUGAAUUUCACAGUGUUGAUCCAUGAGCCAUUGCCACCUCAGUAUUUCAUUCGUGUUGUGUCAGAUAAAUGGCUUGGUUCACAAACAGUUUUGCCCAUCUCUUUCAGGCAUCUUAUCUUGCCAGAAAAGUAUCCACCUCCUACAGAGUUGUUGGACUUGCAGCCUCUGCCUGUGACUGCGUUGAGAAAUCCAUCAUAUGAAGCUCUUUAUCAAGAUUUUAAGCAUUUUAAUCCAGUGCAAACUCAGGUCUUUACUGUUCUUUAUAAUACAGAUGAUAAUGUCUUGGUUUCUGCACCAACAGCGAGUGGGAAAACUACCUGUGCAGAGUUUGCCAUAUUGAGGAAUCACCAAAAGGGACCAGAGUGUGUAAUGCGUGCAGUGUAUAUUGCUCCUCUUGAAGCAAUUGCUAAGGAACGCUAUCGUGAUUGGGAGAGAAAGUUUGGCCAAGGUCUUGGCAUGCGCGUUGUUGAAUUAAUUGGGGAAACAGCUACAGACUUGAAGCUACUUGAAAGGAGUCAAAUAAUCAUCAGCACUCCUGAGAAAUGGGAUGCUCUGUCUCGACGAUGGAAACAGCAGAAGUAUGUCCAGCAAGUUAGUCUUUUUAUCAUUGAUGAGCUUCACUUGAUUGGGGGUCAAAGUGGUCCUGUCUUGGAGGUGAUUGUCUCUAGGAUGCGAUACAUUGCUAGUCAGAUAGAGAACAAGAUACGGAUUGUGGCUUUGUCUUCCUCUCUUGCAAAUGCCAAGGAUCUUGGGGAAUGGAUAGGAGCUACAUCUCAUGGCCUUUUCAAUUUUUCUCCUGGUGUGCGUCCUGUGCCCCUGGAAAUACACAUUCAAGGUGUUGAUAUUGCCAAUUUUGAGGCAAGGAUGCAAGCAAUGACGAAACCAACAUAUACUUGUAUUGUCAAGCAUGCAAAGAAUGGUAAGCCAGCUAUUGUCUUUGUUCCCACAAGAAAGCAUGUGCAACUCGCUGCUGUAGAUCUGAUGACAUAUUCAAGUGUGGAUGGUGGAGAGAAGCCAGCUUUUCUGUUAAGGUCUGAAGAAUUGGGGCCUUUCAUUGGAAAGAUCCAGGAAGAAAUGUUGAGAGCCACUUUGUACCAAGGAGUUGGGUACUUGCAUGAGGGCUUGAGCAGCUUGGAUCAAGAAGUUGUGUGCCAACUGUUUGAAGCUGGGUGGAUUCAGGUUUGUGUCAUGAGUAGUUCAUUAUGCUGGGGGUUGCCUUUGUCAGCACAUUUAGUGGUGGUGAUGGGAACUCAAUACUAUGAUGGGCAAGAAGAUGCUCACACGGAUUAUCCUGUCAUGGAUCUUCUGCAGAUGAUGGGUCAUGCUAGCCGACCUCUUCUAGAUAACUCUGGAAAGUGUGUCAUCCUUUGCCAUGCACCUCGUAAAGAAUAUUACAAGAAAUUCUUACAUGAAGCAUUUCCCGUGGAAAGUCAUUUGCACCAUUUCUUACAUGAUAAUUUUAAUGCUGAAGUUGUUGCUGGAGUUAUUGAGAACAAGCAGGAUGCUGUAGAUUAUCUCACGUGGACAUUCAUGUACAGGAGGCUCGCUCAGAAUCCAAACUACUACAAUCUCCAGGGAGUUAGUCACAGGCAUCUUUCUGAUCACCUCUCAGAGCUUGUUGAGAACACAUUGGCUGACCUAGAGAAGAGUAAAUGUGUUGCUAUCGAGGAUGACAGGGACCUUUCUCCUUUGAACCUUGGCAUGAUAGCAUCUUACUAUUACAUCAGUUAUACUACUAUAGAACGUUUUAGCUCCUCUCUGACUCCCAAAACAAAGAUGAAGGGUCUUCUGAAAAUCCUCUCUUCAGCCUCAGAGUAUGUGCAACUGCCAAUACAACCUGGGGAGGAGGAGGUGCUUCGAAGAUUAAUCAAUCAUCAGAGGUUUUCGUUUGAAAAUCCUAGAUAUGCUGAUCCACAUGUGAAGGCUAAUGUGUUGCUACAAGCCCAUUUCUCUAGGCAAUCUGUGGGUGGGAACCUAGCAUUGGAACAGCGAGAGGUGCUUCUUUCUGCCAGUAGAUUGCUUCAAGCAAUGAUUUAUGUCAUUUCAAGCAAUGGCUGGUUGAACUGUGCUCUCCUUGCUAUGGAAGUUAGCCAAAUGGUGACACAAGGGAUGUGGGAGCGAGAUUCCAUGCUUCUACAGCUUCCACACUUCACAAAGGAGUUGGCUAAGAAAUGCCAGGAGAACCCGGGAAAGAACAUUGAGACAGUGUUUGAUCUGGUAGAGAUGGAAGAUGAUGAGAGGCGUGAGCUUUUGCAGUUGUCAGAUUCUCAGGUGCUAGAUAUUGUGAGGUUUUGCAAUCAAUUUCCCAACAUUGAUAUGUCUUACGAGGUGAUGGAUGGUGAUAAUGUGAGGGCAGGAGAAGACAUCACUUUGCUUGUCACCCUUGCAAGGGAUCUAGAGGGGACAGAGGUGGGACCUGUUGAUGCCCCAAGGUAUCCUAAAGCCAAAGAAGAAGGGUGGUGGCUUGUUGUCGGUGAUACCAAGAGCAACCUGUUGCUGGCCAUCAAGAGGGUUUCCCUUCAGAGGAAGUCAAAGGUGAAGCUGGAGUUUGCUGCUCCUACAGAUGCUGGAAGGAUGUCAUACACACUCUAUUUCAUGUGUGAUUCUUAUCUUGGCUGUGACCAGGAAUACAACUUCUCUGUUGAUGUCGGUGAAGCUGCAGGCCCAGAUGAAGACAGUGAAGGAGAGUAAACUGCAGUUAGUUAUUUUUUUUUCCUUCUCAUUUUUGUCUCUUCCAGUAGCAAUAUUGGAAUUUACAAGAAUAGCUGGCUAAUCUUUCUAAUCUUGGUUGGUGUAUUUGCUUUUGUUUUAGGAGAUGGUCAUAUAUGGUUCAUGCUGUCGGCGAAAAUGACCGCUUUGAACAUGUAUGACAAUGUGAUGAAGAUUUAGAUUCAGGUGGCGGUGCCUUGCUUUUGCAGACCUGGUAGAGUUGGUACCCAGAUGAAAUUUCUUUCGUGGUUCAUUGCUUUUUUUCUUUGUUACUGAAUUUGUAAUUAAUGUAUAUAAUUUUCACUGCACUUCUUGGUGGUGCAUUUUUUUUAGGUUAAAGAUGCAUUAUCAUGAUCAGGUAUUUGUUGAUUGAGUCGGGUAGGAUGUAUGGAGCAAUCAUCCUCGUAACCAAGAAGAAGAAGACGGCGAUGUUAUGAUUAUUUUCACCUUCUUUCAUCUCUAGGAAGUUGAUUGCAGGAAUUGACGAGUGCUGAGGGGUGAUCCUCUCUUGCCGUGGCCUGAGAGAUUAUUAUAAAACGAGUCUUUUGGGUAAGAAAACAAAGGGAUGGCACAGCUAAAACGAUGUCGCUUUGUUCUCGUCCUAUCUAGGACAAGAGGGAGGGGGGCGGGAGUUGUACCAGCAUCUUGCUGCCCAGAAAUAGGUGUGGAGUUGAAGGCUGCUUAAUUUAGGGCUUGGUGGAGAAAUCCUCUUUCAAACAUCAAUUUGUUAUACGUAUGUUGUUGAAAAUUGUGUAAUUAAUUAAAUAUUAAAGAGUUGGAGAAAA
Molecule: RNA transcript, 7719 nt
Organism: Populus nigra (black poplar)
Lineage: Eukaryota; Viridiplantae; Streptophyta; Magnoliopsida; Malpighiales; Salicaceae
Gene name: DExH-box ATP-dependent RNA helicase DExH12-like
Exons: 4
Source: RefSeq, a predicted model, not a curated record